AGAUUGAACGCUGGCGGCAUGCCUAACACAUGCAAGUCGAACGGGAGUAGCAAUACUCUAGUGGCGGACGGGUGAGGAAUACGUAGGAAUUUGCCCUUAAGUGGGGGAUAACCCGGGGAAACCCGGAUUAAUACCGCAUGACCUCGAAAGAGCAAAGUGGGGGAUCGCAAGACCUCACGCUUUUGGAGAAGCCUACGUCGGAUUAGCUAGUUGGUGAGGGUAAUGGCUCACCAAGGCGACGAUCCGUAACUGGUCUGAGAGGAUGAUCAGUCACACCGGAACUGAGACACGGUCCGGACUCCUACGGGAGGCAGCAGUGGGGAAUAUUGGACAAUGGGCGCAAGCCUGAUCCAGCAAUGCCGCGUGUGUGAAG
This 373-nucleotide ribosomal RNA is filed under the name uncultured soil bacterium. Its description in RNAcentral is "bacterial SSU rRNA". It matches the Rfam family "Bacterial small subunit ribosomal RNA", at positions 26 to 410 of the family's 1533-position model. The record is from RNAcentral.